CUCCAGAGUUCCACGCCUCCACCAGACCACCACCCAUUUGUCCCCGACCCCGACCGCUGCUGCACAUCAUCCUCCCGCCGCUCGGCGUCUUCCUCCGAUUCGGCUGCUGCAGAGAGCAGACUAUUCAAUCCGUAACAGUGGUGCUACAAGAGAAUGGGAUGUACCUGUAUUCCUGAACCCUGAGAGCAAUUAAUCCUGAGAGCAAUUAACCGGUCUCCGUUCGCAGCCCCCUCCACUUCCUCUGCAGCUCCGGUGAUAUGGGCAGUGGAUUCGGGUGCCGCCAGAUCUUGCGCCUCAUCCCGUGAUCUGGAGGCGGCACGUCUUCAUGUCGAUGAUGAUAGCCCAGCGUGCAGCCAGCCAAAUAUGUUAUCAGAAUGAUUCUGUUUCCCGGUGCUGAUUGCUCGUGCACAUGUGCAUGCAGCCCAGCGAUUCGGAUAGAUCGCGAGCACCUGUGUAGACUGUUUGCAGCGGAUGCUGCUCUGGAACUGGAAGCUUUGUUUAAUGACACCUUCGGAUUGCAAGGACCUGCACCCUUACCUGCCCA
Molecule: long non-coding RNA, 544 nt
Filed under: Zea mays
Lineage: Eukaryota; Viridiplantae; Streptophyta; Magnoliopsida; Poales; Poaceae
Description: drought responsive lncRNA
Source: RNAcentral